AGCGUAGACGGCAAGGCAAGUCUGAUGUGAAAACCCAGGGCUUAACCCUGGGACUGCAUCGGAAACUGUCUGGCUCGAGUGCCGGAGAGGUAAGCGGGAUUCCUAGUGUAGCGGUGAAAUGCGUAGAUAUUAGGAAGAACACCAGUGGCGAAGGCGGCUUACUGGACGGUAACUGACGUUGAGGCUCGAAAGCGUGGGGAGCAAACA
RNAcentral lists this ribosomal RNA (207 nucleotides) under uncultured bacterium. Its description in RNAcentral is "partial 16S ribosomal RNA". It matches the Rfam family "Bacterial small subunit ribosomal RNA", at positions 568 to 774 of the family's 1533-position model. The record is from RNAcentral.